Molecule: long non-coding RNA, 286 nt
Organism: Neogale vison (American mink)
Lineage: Eukaryota; Metazoa; Chordata; Mammalia; Carnivora; Mustelidae
Exons: 4
Source: RefSeq, a predicted model, not a curated record
AAUAGGAUGGAUUGCAGCUGGGAAGACAGUGUCGGUGUGGGCCCUUAAGAGAGGUCGGAGGAGAGUGAGGAGGGUGUGGAGUCAGCCAACUGGGUGUCCACCACGUGUUCGCCGAGUGCUGGCUGCUGCUGCACGUUUGUCAUGGAGCGCCUUGGGUGACCUCACAGCAGCCCUCUGAGGAGGAAUGAGGGGCAGUCCAGCACUUCCAGGAAGGUCACACCACGAAAUCCCCCACGGCACACCAGUUUUGUCUUCAGACCCCGUGUGAUCCAGGACACCGGCUCAG